Molecule: non-coding RNA, 29 nt
Filed under: Homo sapiens (human)
Lineage: Eukaryota; Metazoa; Chordata; Mammalia; Primates; Hominidae
Source: RNAcentral
UCACCCCCAGGUCCUGCUCAAAGCUGUGC